GCAACUCGCCUACAUGAAGUCGGAAUCGCUAGUAAUCGCGGAUCAGCAUGCCGCGGUGAAUACGUUCCCGGGCCUUGUACACACCACCCGUCACACCAUGAGAGUUUGUAACACCCAAAGCCGGUGGGGUAACCUUUUGGAGCCAGCCGUCUAAGGUGGGACAGAUGAUUGGGGUGAAGUCGUAACAAGGUAAC
RNAcentral lists this ribosomal RNA (194 nucleotides) under uncultured bacterium. RNAcentral describes it as "partial 16S ribosomal RNA". It matches the Rfam family "Bacterial small subunit ribosomal RNA", at positions 1307 to 1500 of the family's 1533-position model. The record is from RNAcentral.